Molecule: non-coding RNA, 73 nt
Organism: Danio rerio (zebrafish)
Lineage: Eukaryota; Metazoa; Chordata; Actinopteri; Cypriniformes; Danionidae
Source: Rfam
GGGGAAUUAGCUCAAAUGGUAAAGCGCUCGCUUUGCAUGCGAGAGGUAGAGAGAACAAUGCCUGCAUUCUCCA